This 336-nucleotide unclassified non-coding RNA is filed under the name soil metagenome. RNAcentral's name for it is "partial contains 5.8S ribosomal RNA, internal transcribed spacer 2, and large subunit ribosomal RNA". The stretch from base 1 to 120 matches the Rfam family "5.8S ribosomal RNA", at positions 35 to 154 of the family's 154-position model. The record is from RNAcentral.
GAUGAAGAACGUAGCGAAAUGCGAUAAGUAGUGUGAAUUGCAGAAUUCAGUGAAUCAUCGAAUCUUUGAACGCACAUUGCGCCCCUUGGUAUUCCAUGGGGCAUGCCUGUUCGAGCGUCAUUUGUACCUUCAAGCUCUGCUUGGUGUUGGGUGUUUGUCUCGCCUCUGCGUGUAGACUCGCCUUAAAACAAUUGGCAGCCGGCGUAUUGAUUUCGGAGCGCAGUACAUCUCGCGCUUUGCACUCAUAACGACGACGUCCAAAAGUACAUUUUUACACUCUUGACCUCGGAUCAGGUAGGGAUACCCGCUGAACUUAAGCAUAUCAUAAGCGGAGGA